AAGUGUAUGUGUGUGUGUCUGAGUAUGUGUGUCAGUGUGUGUGUGCACGCGUAUAUAUAUAUAUAUAUAUAUAUAUAUAUAUAUAUAUACAUACACACACACACACACACACACACACACACACAAGU
This 128-nucleotide microRNA precursor is filed under the name Pelobates cultripes (western spadefoot toad). The record is from RNAcentral. Lineage: Eukaryota; Metazoa; Chordata; Amphibia; Anura; Pelobatidae.